RNAcentral lists this transfer RNA (71 nucleotides) under Stegodyphus mimosarum. It matches the Rfam family "tRNA". From Rfam's summary of the family: Transfer RNA (tRNA) molecules are approximately 80 nucleotides in length. Their secondary structure includes four short double-helical elements and three loops (D, anti-codon, and T loops). The record is from Rfam by way of RNAcentral. Lineage: Eukaryota; Metazoa; Arthropoda; Arachnida; Araneae; Eresidae.
GCCUUUGGGGUGUAAUGGUAGCCCACUCGGCGUGUAUUCAAGAGAUUCAGGUUCGAGUCCUGGCGAGGGUA